This 3028-nucleotide long non-coding RNA is filed under the name Homo sapiens (human). RNAcentral's name for it is "HSALNT0056224". The record is from RNAcentral. Lineage: Eukaryota; Metazoa; Chordata; Mammalia; Primates; Hominidae.
AAUUACUGAGAACCUCAAGGACUGUUGUUUAUAUGGGUUAUAUUAAGCAAUAUUUAUCAUAUUAGAAAUAAUCAGAAAUUUUAAAUUUAUUCAUUAAUUCAUUUUAAAAUAGCAAUAACAAACCCAUUACAUAAUAAUAUAAAUAACAUUUUUAUGAAAUGACUAUAUUUUCCAAAACAGAAGUUUUUGAGAAGGAAAGCAUAGUUUUACAUCUUCCAAAAGCUCUUUAAGGGCUAGUGUAAUUGAAGAUAGCUAGAUUUUCACAUUUUCUUCUGAAUUCAAAUGCUUGUGAUAUGUCAUGUAACCGCUAGAAAACUCCACUGUACUACAUGCUCAUAAAAGAAUGACAGUAUAACAUCUUGCUAUUUUUACAAAAAUGUUUUUGACCUCACAGAUCCCCAGAAACAAGUGUGCUGGACCCCCAGGGGUGCCCGGGCCUCACUUUGAGAACAGCUGCCUUACAAGGGUACUUUGGAUUCAGUUGCUGGCGGGGACAGAGAGCAACAUGUCCCAGGGAAGCUGAGGAAGAACGUGGAUGGAAAACAGACUGCUUCUGGCGAUGUGAACCUUCCCUUACCUUAGGAAGAAGGUGCUGGGUGAGCUGGCUCCUAGCUCCUGCCUUCUCCCACUUCCCAGCUUGCUGCAGCCCUCUGGUGACAGUCAGACAAUGAUAUGGAAGGAUUCCUGACUAAUUCGGAUGGACGUGAGCUGAACCUUCCCUGCUUCUGGCCAACCUCUUGACUAUAUAUAUAUAUAUAAAGAAUUGCAAUAUAUAUAUAUAUAUAUUAGAUAUAUAUAUUAGAUCUAAUAUAUAUAAUUUUGCAAUCCAUUUAUUUGUCUCUGUAUUCACUCCCAUCCCCAAAUUAUUUUCAUGGUGGAGAAACAAACUUUGUGCCCCUUCUUCAACUGCAAAACCUUGCUCUGCCCUCCCUUCAGUUGCACUGCUUCUCUUAGUCUGUGCAGGAAAUCGAAGCCUCGUGCCCUCGGACUCAAGGCUCUCCCAGACCUCCAUCCCUCCCACUCGUGCUGUCUGUCCUAGCUUCCUGUUGCCUGUCUCCUCCCUCUCCAGGCCGACAGAGGUUUCUCAAGACAUUCUGAAGGCUCCCAAAUCUGCCACUCCCCAGUCUUCUCCCUCUCCCUCCUUUUGCUGACACGUUCCUCCAUAGAGCAGUCUACACUUAACUUCUCUUCUUUCUCACCUCCACCCAUUCUCUUUGGUUUGCCCUCUGCAAUCCUUCCUCCAUAGCCGAACACACACUACUAUAGCUGUCCCAUCUGGGGUCAUAAUGACCUCCCAAUUGCCGCAACCAAGAGCUUGUUGUAAGUCCUCCAUUCAAACUAUCUAAAUAGGAGGACGUGGAGGUCCAUAGUUCAAGAUUUACCUCCACUGGCUUUAGAGAUAAUUCAGUUGCAGUCCAAAAAGAUUACUUACCGGCGGAACUGAGAUGUGGCCCCAGCCUUCUGUUAACCAUGUUGAUGUUCUUUCUCCUAAAGACCACCACCUGCCUUGACCUUCCCUGUAACACCUGACCCUGUUGACUCUACACUCCUUCUUAACUCUUCCCUGGUCCUUUCAUAGUAUACAUUCCUCAUCUACCCAGAUCCCUCUGGUAAUGCCUGCUAGCUCCUUUUCCUCUUGCAUUCUACAUAAAUAUAGAUAUGCCCUAAAUAUCAUAGCUUUUCCAGUAGUAAGGAUCAUAUCUAGCACACACAUUUUCUUCUUCCCACCUCUCUUCUGUCUCCAUAUACUGCCAGUGGGAGUUCAACCUAUUAGAAAUGCCCUCUGACAACCAAAAACAUCCUUCUCUUUCAUCACCCGUAAAUAAGCACCUACCAUGUGAGAUUCAGCACAGGAGGGGAAUCUGGGAUCAGACUGCCUAAUUUCAAAUCCCAGCUCAGCUUCUUUAGCACAUGCCAUUGUGACCUGGCAAGAUUCUUCCCAAGUCUUCAUUUUUUCUUCUAACCACCUACGAUUGUUGUGAAGACUAAUGAGAAAUUACUCAUACAGAGUUACUCAGUGAAGUGGCUGGCUUGCAGCAUUAAUGGUAAAUGCUCAGUAGAUUUUAGUUUUCUUCCUUUCUUUUUUACAUUUUCACUUUUAAUGUUUGCUAGGGAUGAUGCUGAACCCUAGUUCCAUCCCUUGUAUAGCUCAGCGUCUGGUGUAAUUAAACUUUAGAUGUGCCACAGCAGCUGUCUGCAGAGUAGAUGGGGAGAAAGGAGUGAAGAGUUAAUUCUACUUAGGGCAUCAGAAAAACCUUCAUUUGAAGAGCUAAACACUAAUCUCAAUCUUGUUUUUUUUUCCUGGGGACUAAGCUGCUAUACAGACCACAUGUAAACUUUAUUUAAUAGAAGCUUCACAAGUGAGCAAUAUCAUGGCAAGAAAAAAACAUUUAGAACAGAAUUGUUCAGACAUUGGGGUGCAUUUAGCUACUAGGGUGGGCAAGAAACAUAGGCCAGAAUAAUUUGUGGCUACCCCUGAGGAUAUUCACAGUAUGUAACACCUCAAGCCAGAGAAGCCAUGGAAACACCUGGUGUGAUACAUCUGUACUUGUGGCACGAAAGUCAGGACAGGCACCUUUUAUAUUUAAAACCAGUCACCAUGACUACCACAACCCAGUUUCUCAUGCUACCACAAACCUUCUAUUUCUCACUGCAAUGUGGUGUGUGGCAUGGUUGGAGUCACAAGACUGAUUUUCAUGGGACUUUGAACCUCUGAUUCUUAUGUUUCUUUGAGUUUCAUUUUAAGCCUGGUCUUUGCAGAGAAAGGGGGAAGAAAUCACAGAUAAUUAAAGCAUAAAAUAUUCUCAUUUCAUGGUGGGGCUAACAAGUGAAACUACAAGUAAUGAUGUAAUCCAACUUGUCAAAAAGGGAAAUGAAAAGAGGAGACAGAAGGCAGGACAGAGCCUUGGGACCCAGCGUGCCAUGUCAUCUUCUAAUUAACUAACUGAUCCUUUAAACUGUCAAACUCGGCGAGGAACUCCAUGGCCUGGCAUCUGAUUAAUAUUCAUAUUCGGGCACUGGAUGCUCU